AAGUCGUAACAAGGUUUCCGUAGGUGAACCUGCGGAAGGAUCAUUAAUGAACUUUGAAACCCUUGUGGCUUCACUGGUCUGUAGCUGGCCUUCUUCGGAGGGUAUGUGCUCGCUAGUGUCGCUGCAACUUUCUUUGUCCACCUGUGCACCUUUUGUAGUCUUGGAGCAUCUCUCGACGAUUUAUUUCGCUCGGAUUUGGAGGGCUAGCCCUAGUGGCUUCCCUCUGUCGCUCCCAGACUAUGCUUAUAACAAACUCUAUUGUAUGUCUAGAAUGUCAUUGCUUUAUUGGACGCGAGUCCUAUAAAACUUUAUACAACUUUCAACAACGGAUCUCUUGGCUCUC
RNAcentral lists this unclassified non-coding RNA (343 nucleotides) under air metagenome. RNAcentral's name for it is "partial contains small subunit ribosomal RNA, internal transcribed spacer 1, and 5.8S ribosomal RNA". The stretch from base 1 to 46 matches the Rfam family "Eukaryotic small subunit ribosomal RNA", at positions 1786 to 1831 of the family's 1831-position model. The record is from RNAcentral.